RNAcentral lists this ribosomal RNA (498 nucleotides) under uncultured bacterium. RNAcentral's name for it is "partial 16S ribosomal RNA". It matches the Rfam family "Bacterial small subunit ribosomal RNA", at positions 30 to 523 of the family's 1533-position model. The record is from RNAcentral.
AUUGAACGCUGGCGGCAUGCUUUACACAUGCAAGUCGAACGGUAACAGGCCGCAAGGUGCUGACGAGUGGCGAACGGGUGAGUAAUGCAUCGGAACGUGCCCAGUCGUGGGGGAUAACGCAGCGAAAGCUGUGCUGAUACCGCAUACGAUCUAUGGAUGAAAGCGGGGGACCGUAAGGCCUCGCGCGAUUGGAGCGGCCGAUGUCAGAUUAGGUAGUUGGUGGGGUAAAGGCCCACCAAGCCAACGAUCUGUAGCUGGUCUGAGAGGACGACCCGCCACACUGGGACUGAGACACGGCCCAGACUCCUACGGGAGGCAGCAGUGGGGAAUUUUGGACAAUGGGCGCAAGCCUGAUCCAGCAAUGCCGCGUGCAGGAAGAAGGCCUUCGGGUUGUAAACUGCUUUUGUACGGAACGAAACGGUCUGGGUUAAUACCCUGGGCUAAUGACGGUACCGUAAGAAUAAGCACCGGCUAACUACGUGCCAGCCGCCGCCGUAA